This 18-nucleotide unclassified non-coding RNA is filed under the name Mus musculus (house mouse). Its description in RNAcentral is "oocyte_clustered_small_RNA202". The record is from RNAcentral. Lineage: Eukaryota; Metazoa; Chordata; Mammalia; Rodentia; Muridae.
CAAGAGCAGACGCGACAA